RNAcentral lists this small RNA (366 nucleotides) under Drosophila mojavensis. Its description in RNAcentral is "GI27049". The record is from RNAcentral. Lineage: Eukaryota; Metazoa; Arthropoda; Insecta; Diptera; Drosophilidae.
UUGAUUAAAGUAAAAAUAAAUAAAUUCCUCAGGCUGUACAUUCAAUCACAGCCAACACGAAGCAGACAGUCGCAAAUAAAUCAAUACAGAAAAAUGUUUUAUGCCAAUAAUACAUCAUACACACAGGACUCACAUGCCUGUGAGUGUGGCCCCUACUCGGCGCAUAUUUCAAUAUUUGCCGACAAGCAUUUUUUGGCAUACGAAAAAAGCGUUAGGCAAACAGCGAAUAUACAGCAGUCAAGCACACACACACACACACGCACAAUGGCUCACUCACACACUCUCCGCGGGACAGCAUAAUUUGAGUCUAUUUGGCGUGUAGCAUACUUUUCCGCGCUACAGCAAAGACAACAACCUGAAAGCAAU